ACGCGCACCCAUCUCUCCGUUGCCUUCGUUCGGGUCUCAGACGAAAGCAUCAGGGUUCGUUCCGAUGGCUCUCUCGGGGCGUAUUAGAUCCCCGCUCCCUCUCUUCGGCAGGAUCCUCUCGGCCGAAUCGCCGGCCGGCGUUGUGCUUUCGUUCGGCCUCCGAUCGAAUAUUUGGAAACCCUACCACGGGUCUGAGGACAUUUGCAAGCCAGGCGAAAUCAGUUGAAGCCAAUGUCAAGCCACUUCUUGCUUAAGAGGAGGAACUUGAGCAGACUUUACAAGAUAUUUUUGGACGAGGGAAAACUGCCAGGAUUGAACAGAAGAUAAAUGAUUGCCAAGUUUCUCAUACAGAAACACAUGUUCCAGUACUUCGGCUACGUCUGCUUUUAGUGGGAAUUGUUGCAAAACUAUGAUUCACACACACCGUGGACUGUGGCAACUUUGAAGUUACUGAUAGAACAAAGUUUUGGACCCUGCGUUUUAGAUACUUUAGUAAAUGUGUCUUAUACUCCAGAACGACGGGUGAUCUUGGUUUCAGCUUUCAAAAACCAGUACUCUGUAUUUUUUUUUUAAUCAGUUUUUAUUUGAUGGUUGUCAAUUCUGCUUUUUGGGGGAUGUGGUGACUUGCCAAUUUUAUGCCUUUUGCUUUUACAGAUUGAUCCCAGCAUCCUUGGAGGAUUGGUCGUUGAAUUUGAGAAGAAGGUUUAUGUCGUGUCAACAAAGACGAGGGCCAAGAAAAUGGAAAAUUUCUUAAAGGCCACCGAUCAAUUUUGACAAGCUCUAAUGGCGCCAAAGUGCAACAAACAUUCAUUGCUUCACUUCUCCUGUAUGUUUGUUGUUUCAAGUAAGGUCUACUUAGAGAAAAGCACUCUUUAUCAUGUUUCCUUGCAUGGGCAUAGCCCUGCAAAACAUCUUCAACUUUCGAUGUCUGCUUAGCUGAAUGAUCAAGAAAAUUUAUGAUGCGUAUUCUCGAGGAGA
This is a long non-coding RNA of Musa acuminata AAA Group (dessert banana), 978 nucleotides long. RefSeq lists it as uncharacterized. The record is from RefSeq and is a predicted model, not a curated record. The transcript is spliced from 4 exons. NCBI's taxonomy places the organism in Eukaryota, Viridiplantae, Streptophyta, Magnoliopsida, Zingiberales, Musaceae.